Molecule: microRNA, 22 nt
Filed under: Picea abies (Norway spruce)
Lineage: Eukaryota; Viridiplantae; Streptophyta; Pinopsida; Pinales; Pinaceae
Description: pab-miR11515a
Source: miRBase by way of RNAcentral
UCGAACAGCUACAGCUACAAUG